UAUGUAGAGAUGUUGACUGUGUUAUGGAUAGCAUGUGGUAGCUUAUGUUAGCGAUUCCUUGCAGAACGGCACGUUAAGAGAAACCUUGUGACUGACAUUUGGUUGGCGUCGCCCCUCUACAGGCGAAAGCUUGAGUGAGCUGGAAUUGAGCUUGGGUAUCCGUUGCGAAUAUUUUGGGGGUUGGCUGUGUGUGUACCAUAUAAACUGAACAAGUUGUCCCUCGCACAUUUGCACGAUUACCUGACCCACGGAGUCACGAGAUCGGAUGUGUACGGUACGUGGGUUAAAACCUCGUCCCUGUUAGCCAGUGGAAGGUGUCACUAACACAUUCUAUUUAGAGUUGAUGACGAUCUUGCGGCUUUUGGCGACUUACGUGAACUCCGCCUACAGAUUGUUGCACGAGCCGCAGCCGUCCCGACAUUCAUCUGUUGUUGCUUAUCAGGGGUGGGGAGAUUAUUCAUGAUUGGCCGUGCCUCUACCAACGAGUAGUUUUUACGUUUUGGAGCUACCUGAGAGUUAUCCGGAGGCGCUGUUGCUUUACCAUAUAUUAUUGUUAAUUUUCUUUUGUUUCAUUUGAAUUGUUGGUUACGUUUGCUGUUUAUUUUAUUUUAUUAUUUUUGUUUUGUUUUUAUUCUUACCUUACCUGGUUGGCAUUACUGUUUUUAUGGUUUUGCUUUCUUAUGGUUAAAUUCUGUAGUGGCAUAUUCCAUUUAAUUUGAUUCUAUCAUAUUGUUUCCUUCAUAUUUGUAUUUUUUUGUAUUUUGUGAAACUGCAUUGUGGUGGGCAAGUAGAGCGCCUACUGCUAUAUCUCACUGUAGUGCUCCGUACCCGUAGGGUGCCUGUACCCUCGAAGUUUGUGCCAAACCUGUCUCUAUUUUAUCCCUUCACAGGGGCUGAGGGCCGAAGGCGGGCCGAGCUUGGUGUGUUGGUGUUCUCCACUAGUGCUGUGGUGUGUGUGUGCGCGUGAGCGUGUGUACCCCGGUGUAACCAGUGUGAGGUGUGGUGUGACCUAGUGUGUCCCUAAACCCCGCUGUCGGAUCUCAGCUCCUGUUCUUUCUUUGGCCUAUUUUGAGGGGCUUGUUGUCUCAGGUUGCUUCGGGUGGUACUCUUCCAUCAUAGUCUUUUCUUUGUUUAUAUUUUAUAUUUCUUUAUUUCCAAGUGAUUGU
Long non-coding RNA from Triplophysa dalaica, 1166 nucleotides. RefSeq lists it as uncharacterized. Lineage: Eukaryota; Metazoa; Chordata; Actinopteri; Cypriniformes; Nemacheilidae. The record is from RefSeq and is a predicted model, not a curated record. The transcript has 3 exons.